Molecule: ribosomal RNA, 440 nt
Filed under: uncultured bacterium
Lineage: Bacteria
Description: partial 16S ribosomal RNA
Rfam family: Bacterial small subunit ribosomal RNA
Source: RNAcentral
CCUACGGGAGGCAGCAGUGAGGAAUAUUGCUCAAUGGGCGAGACCCUGAUGCAGCGACGCCGCGUGAAUGAAGAAGUAUUUCGGUAUUGAAAACUCUAUCAACAAAGAAAAAAAUUACGGUACCUGAGUCAUAAGCCCCGUCUAACUACAUGCCAGCAGCCGCGGUAAUACGUCGGGGGCCAGCGUUAUCCGGAUUUACUGAGUGUAAAGGGAGCGUAGACGGCAGCGCAAGUCUGAAGUGAAAUGCCGCGGCUUAACCCCGGAACUGCUAUUGAAACUGUGAAGCUAGAGUGCAGGAGAGGUAAGUGGAAUUCGUAGUGUAGCGGUGAAAUGCGUAGAUAUUAGGAGGAACACCAGUGGCGAAGGCGGCUUACUGGACUGUAACUGACGUUGAUGCUCGAAAGCGUGGGGAGCAAACAGGAUUAGAUACCCGUGUAGUC